CUAUUUUUAUCCUGGAAAAUCAAAGAGUUCCCACGGGAUUCCCAAAAAAACCAUCCGUUUAAGCGAUUUAUAAGAAAAUUUGGGUACACA
This is a long non-coding RNA of Maniola jurtina (meadow brown), 90 nucleotides long. RefSeq lists it as uncharacterized. Lineage: Eukaryota; Metazoa; Arthropoda; Insecta; Lepidoptera; Nymphalidae. The record is from RefSeq and is a predicted model, not a curated record. The transcript is spliced from 3 exons.